This 318-nucleotide long non-coding RNA is filed under the name Mytilus galloprovincialis (Mediterranean mussel). The record is from RNAcentral. Lineage: Eukaryota; Metazoa; Mollusca; Bivalvia; Mytilida; Mytilidae.
AUUCGCUAUAUUAGUCAAAAACCUCCGAACCUUGUCAUACUUAAAACAGAAAGCAUGUAAAUUUUCGAUCAAAGACUUCAGUCCGAACUCGUGAUACAACUGUACUGCAAGACCAAGACUAAAUGGAGUAAUUAUGUUAUUACAAUUUGACACCAGGCGCUCUCCGAGAGCAGUACAUUUUCUUCGAAUGCCAUGCGAAAUAUCCAUUGAUAUGUUUCAAAAGACUUUUUGUCAAGAAGCCAAGUAACAAAACUUAUCAAACAGGGUAGCAACAUUGCUUCUGACAUUUCCAACGAUACUUCGUCAUUUGCAUUAUAA